GAUGAACGCUAGCGACAGGCUUAACACAUGCAAGUCGAGGGGCAGCGAGAAAGUGCUUGCACUUUUGUCGGCGACCGGCGCACGGGUGAGUAACACGUAUGCAACCUGCCCUUGUCAGGGGGAUAAGCGGGGGAAACCCCGUCUAAUACCGCAUAUAUGAUUUGGAGGCAUCUUUAAAUCAGGAAAGAAUUAUCGGACAAGGAUGGGCAUGCGGGACAUUAGGUAGUUGGGGGGUGUAACGGACCACCAAGCCGACGAUGUCUAGGGGUUCUGAGAGGAAGGUCCCCCACACUGGUACUGAGACACGGACCAGACUCCUACGGGAGGCAGCAGUGAGGAAUAUUGGUCAAUGGGCGAGAGCCUGAACCAGCCAAGUCGCGUGAAGGUGACGGCCCUAUGGGUCUUAAACUUCUUUUGCAAGGGAGCAAUAAGGCGUACGUGUACGUCGAUGAGAGUACCUUGCGAAUAAGCAUCGGCUAACUCCGUG
This 487-nucleotide ribosomal RNA is filed under the name uncultured bacterium. RNAcentral describes it as "bacterial SSU rRNA". It matches the Rfam family "Bacterial small subunit ribosomal RNA", at positions 28 to 507 of the family's 1533-position model. The record is from RNAcentral.